GAUGAACGCUGGCGGCGGGCUUAACACAUGCAAGUCGAACGGUAAGGCUCCAGCUUGCUGGGGUACACGAGUGGCGAACGGGUGAGUAACACGUGGGUGACCUGCCCUGCACUUCGGGAUAAGCCUGGGAAACUGGGCCUAAUACCGGAUAGGACCAUGGUGUGGAUACUGUGGUGGAAAGCUUUUUCGGUGUGGGAUGGGCCCGCGGCCUAUCAGCUUGUUGGUGGUGUAAUGGCCUACCAAGGCGGCGACGGAUAGCCGGCCUGAGAGUGUGGACGGCCACCAUGGGCCUGCGGGACGGCGCAGUGUGCAACGGGAGACAACAGUGGGAAGUAUGGCCCAGUGGUCCGGCGUGUGUGGAGAAGGCGUCGCGUUGGGGAUGCCGUCCUUCGGGGUAUAAAAUCCUUUAAGCAAAGACGAAGGGUUUCUGACGGUAGAUGGAGAAGAAGCACCGGCUAACUACGUG
RNAcentral lists this ribosomal RNA (466 nucleotides) under uncultured bacterium. RNAcentral's name for it is "partial 16S ribosomal RNA". It matches the Rfam family "Bacterial small subunit ribosomal RNA", at positions 28 to 507 of the family's 1533-position model. The record is from RNAcentral.